Molecule: ribosomal RNA, 479 nt
Filed under: uncultured bacterium
Lineage: Bacteria
Description: partial 16S ribosomal RNA
Rfam family: Bacterial small subunit ribosomal RNA
Source: RNAcentral
GACGAACGCUGGCGGCGUGCUUAACACAUGCAAGUUGAACGAGAAUUUUUCGAGUGAUUUCUUCGGAAUGAUCAUGAAAAAGGAAAGUAGCGAACGGGUGAGUAACACGUGAGAAACCUGCCUUUCACAAAGGGAUAGCCUCGGGAAACCGGGAUUAAUACCUUAUGAAACCAAACACUCGCAUGAGAGAUUGGUUAAAGAUUUAUCGGUGUUAGAUGGUCUCGCGUCUGAUUAGCUAGUUGGUGGGAUAAAAGCCUACCAAGGCAACGAUCAGUAGCCGGAUUGAGAGGUUGAACGGCCACACUGGAACUGAGACACGGUCCAGACUCCUACGGGAGGCAGCAGUGGGGAAUUUUGCACAAUGGAGGAAACUCUGAUGCAGCGACGCCGCGUGAGUGAUGAAGGUCUUCGGAUUGUAAAACUCUGUCCUUAGUGAAGAUAAGGACAGUAACUAAGAAGCAAGCCCUGGCUAAAUACGU